RNAcentral lists this small nucleolar RNA (100 nucleotides) under Echinops telfairi (small Madagascar hedgehog). RNAcentral describes it as "Small nucleolar RNA SNORA61 (ENSETEG00000026498.1)". Lineage: Eukaryota; Metazoa; Chordata; Mammalia; Afrosoricida; Tenrecidae. The record is from RNAcentral.
ACCCUCCCGAUUCCUUAACCCAUCAGACCUACACACUGAUCUGCGUGGUUAUAAAAGGAGGUGUGGUAGUUACAUAAUCUGUUGUCAAUUUGAGACUAGU